This 73-nucleotide transfer RNA is filed under the name Bacteroides sp. RNAcentral's name for it is "tRNA-Lys". It matches the Rfam family "tRNA". From Rfam's summary of the family: Transfer RNA (tRNA) molecules are approximately 80 nucleotides in length. Their secondary structure includes four short double-helical elements and three loops (D, anti-codon, and T loops). Further hydrogen bonds mediate the characteristic L-shaped molecular structure. tRNAs have two regions of fundamental functional importance: the anti-codon, which is responsible for specific mRNA codon recognition, and the 3' end, to which the tRNAs corresponding amino acid is attached (by aminoacyl-tRNA synthetases). tRNAs cope with the degeneracy of the genetic code in two manners: having more than one tRNA (with a specific anti-codon) for a particular amino acid; and 'wobble' base-pairing, i.e. permitting non-standard base-pairing at the 3rd anti-codon position. RNAcentral also lists the same sequence under 11 other names. Lineage: Bacteria; Pseudomonadati; Bacteroidota; Bacteroidia; Bacteroidales; Bacteroidaceae. The record is from RNAcentral.
GACUCCGUAGCUCAGUUGGUAGAGCAAAUGACUCUUAAUCAUUGGGUCGAGGGUUCGAGUCCCUCCGGGGUCA